RNAcentral lists this ribosomal RNA (253 nucleotides) under uncultured bacterium. RNAcentral describes it as "partial 16S ribosomal RNA". It matches the Rfam family "Bacterial small subunit ribosomal RNA", at positions 524 to 776 of the family's 1533-position model. The record is from RNAcentral.
UACGUAAGGGGCAAGCGUUGUCCGGAAUCACUGGGCGUAAAGCGCGCGUAGGCGGUUUGGUAAGUCGGGUGUGAAAGCCCCAGGCUCAACCUGGGAACGGCGCCCGAAACUGCCUCACUGGAGGGACGGAGAGGUGCACGGAAUUCCCGGUGUAGGGGUGAAAUCCAUAGAUAUCGGGAGGAACACCAAUGGCGAAGGCAGUGCACUGGACGUCACCUGACGCUGAGGUGCGAAAGCGUGGGGAGCGAACGGG